GAUGAACGCUGGCGGCGUGCUUAACACAUGCAAGUCGAACGGAAAGGCUCCUGCUUGCAGGGGUACUCGAGUGGCGAACGGGUGAGUAACACGUGGGUGAUCUGCCCUGCACUUCGGGAUAAGCCUGGGAAACUGGGUCUAAUACCGGGUAGGACCACAUUUUGGAUGGUGUGGUGGAAAGUUUUUCGGUGUGGGAUGAGCUCGCGGCCUAUCAGCUUGUUGGUGGGGUAAUGGCCUACCAAGGCGUCGACGGGUAGCCGGCCUGAGAGGGUGUACGGCCACAUUGGGACUGAGAUACGGCCCAGACUCCUACGGGAGGCAGCAGUGGGGAAUAUUGCACAAUGGGCGCAAGCCUGAUGCAGCGACGCCGCGUGGGGGAUGACGGCCUUCGGGUUGUAAACUCCUUUCGCUAGGGACGAAGCGUUUUUGUGACGGUACCUGGAGAAGAAGCACCGGCUAACUACGUG
This 467-nucleotide ribosomal RNA is filed under the name uncultured bacterium. RNAcentral's name for it is "partial 16S ribosomal RNA". It matches the Rfam family "Bacterial small subunit ribosomal RNA", at positions 28 to 507 of the family's 1533-position model. The record is from RNAcentral.